Molecule: ribosomal RNA, 305 nt
Filed under: Podarcis cretensis
Lineage: Eukaryota; Metazoa; Chordata; Lepidosauria; Squamata; Lacertidae
Description: partial large subunit ribosomal RNA
Rfam family: Bacterial large subunit ribosomal RNA
Source: RNAcentral
AGCCAAUGAAAUUGAUCCUUCAGUACAAAAGCUGAAAUUAACCCAUAAGACGAGAAGACCCUGUGGAGCUUCAAAACCAAAACCACUAAACAUGCCUCCUGGUUUUUUAGUUGGGGCGACUUUGGAGCAAAAAAAACCCUCCAAAACAUAAAUCUAUUUAUUAAGAACAACACACCAAAAAUAAUAUUAUAGACCCAGCAGUAUUAAUUUACUGUCUGAUCAAUGAACCAAGUUACCCCAGGGAUAACAGCGCUAUCCUCUUCUAGAGUCCUUAUCGACAAGGGGGUUUACGACCUCGAUGUUGG